RNAcentral lists this ribosomal RNA (849 nucleotides) under Corinectria fuckeliana. Its description in RNAcentral is "LSU rRNA". It matches the Rfam family "Eukaryotic large subunit ribosomal RNA", at positions 37 to 918 of the family's 3401-position model. Lineage: Eukaryota; Fungi; Ascomycota; Sordariomycetes; Hypocreales; Nectriaceae. The record is from RNAcentral.
AGCAUAUCAAUAAGCGGAGGAAAAGAAACCAACAGGGAUUGCCCUAGUAACGGCGAGUGAAGCGGCAACAGCUCAAAUUUGAAAUCUGGCCCCCGGGUCCGAGUUGUAAUUUGUAGAGGAUGCUUUUGGUGCGGUACCUUCCGAGUUCCCUGGAACGGGACGCCAUAGAGGGUGAGAGCCCCGUCUGGUUGGACGCCAAUCCUUUGUAAAGCUCCUUCGACGAGUCGAGUAGUUUGGGAAUGCUGCUCUAAAUGGGAGGUAUAUGUCUUCUAAAGCUAAAUAUUGGCCAGAGACCGAUAGCGCACAAGUAGAGUGAUCGAAAGAUGAAAAGCACUUUGAAAAGAGAGUUAAAAAGUACGUGAAAUUGUUGAAAGGGAAGCGCUCAUGACCAGACUUGGGCCCGGUUGAUCAUCCAGGGUUCUCCCUGGUGCACUCUUCCGGCCCAGGCCAGCAUCAGUUCGCUGUGGGGGAUAAAGGCUUCGGGAAUGUGGCUCCUCCGGGAGUGUUAUAGCCCGCUGCGUAAUACCCUGUGGCGGACUGAGGUUCGCGCAUCUGCAAGGAUGCUGGCGUAAUGGUCAUCAGCGACCCGUCUUGAAACACGGACCAAGGAGUCGUCUUCGUAUGCGAGUGUUCGGGUGUUAAACCCCUACGCGGAAUGAAAGUGAACGCAGGUGAGAGCUUCGGCGCAUCAUCGACCGAUCCUGAUGUUCUCGGAUGGAUUUGAGUAAGAGCAUACGGGGCCGGACCCGAAAGAAGGUGAACUAUGCCUGUAUAGGGUGAAGCCAGAGGAAACUCUGGUGGAGGCUCGCAGCGGUUCUGACGUGCAAAUCGAUCGUCAAAUAUGGGCAU